UGGGGAAUAUUGCACAAUGGGCGCAAGCCUGAUGCAGCCAUGCCGCGUGUAUGAAGAAGGCCUUCGGGUUGUAAAGUACUUUCAGUCGGGAGGAAGGUGUCAAGGUUAAUAACCUUGGCAAUUGACGUUACCGACAGAAGAAGCACCGGCUAACUCCGUGCCAGCAGCCGCGGUAAUACGGAGGGUGCAAGCGUUAAUCGGAAUUACUGGGCGUAAAGCGCACGCAGGCGGUUGAUUGAGUCAGAUGUGAAAUCCCCGGGCUCAACCUGGGAACUGCAUCUGAUACUGGCAAGCUUGAGUCUCGUAGAGCGGGGUAGAAUUCCAGGUGUAGCGGUGAAAUGCGUAGAGAUCUGGAGGAAUACCGGUGGCGAAGGCGGCCCCCUGGACGAAGACUGACGCUCAGGUGCGAAAGCGUGGGGAGCAAACAGG
Molecule: ribosomal RNA, 429 nt
Filed under: Chloroflexota bacterium
Lineage: Bacteria; Bacillati; Chloroflexota
Description: Chloroflexi bacterium partial 16S ribosomal RNA
Rfam family: Bacterial small subunit ribosomal RNA
Source: RNAcentral